Molecule: non-coding RNA, 628 nt
Organism: Meleagris gallopavo (turkey)
Lineage: Eukaryota; Metazoa; Chordata; Aves; Galliformes; Phasianidae
Source: RefSeq, a predicted model, not a curated record
CUUCAUUCUAAAACCGUGUCCCUAAGAGUCUCUUCUAAGCACUAAACACCCUGAACAGUUGCAUGUUGCUCUGACUUUGUGGUUUCUUCCUUUCUCCUCCUCACAGGGAAAAAGAAGUAAGUCUUGAUAAGAACUGUGGUAUAUAUGUGAAGGACUGUUACACUGCACUCUGUGUGAGAUGACAAAUCUGGCUAAGGGCCAGCAGUGGUGUAAUGCUGUGCAUGUUGUGCACUGCUUUACAACUGGAUCACUUAAUAGGGCAGUGCAAGGGCCAAGUCAAGGUACCAUCUUCCUCUGUGGCAGGGGACUGGAGCCCUGUCAGCAGGGCUGAGCACAGGCUGUCUGCUGCCUUGUUUCCUCCGUGGCUGGAGAUGCAGAGUGCUUGGCUGAGUUCCUGCACUAGGCGUGGGAUGCAGCCCGGCGUGGGAGGCACACUCAAUUCAGUUGAGCGACAUGCAGGUCUUGAACAGCUUGAGCGGGGCAGCCUGCUUUAGAUGAAUACAAGUGAAUAGUCCCUUUGGAUGUUAAAAGCCUCCAAAAAUAGUUAUAAAGGCUCAGCUAAAUUUAAUACGGCUCUAAUGUCAAUGGAAGGAUUAGAACAUUUGGGAUUUGCACCAGUUAGCAUUAA